CCUCCGGUUCUUGGCAGGCCCGGCUCGCCGUGCCCGGCUCUGUAUGGGCGGAGGUAGAGCAGAGACCGGAGCGGCGUCUUCGGUACCCGCGGCCAUCCGCGGGGUUCUGCCCUCCCGCGCCGGGACACGC
Molecule: small nucleolar RNA, 130 nt
Organism: Phasianus colchicus (ring-necked pheasant)
Lineage: Eukaryota; Metazoa; Chordata; Aves; Galliformes; Phasianidae
Source: Ensembl